RNAcentral lists this transfer RNA (60 nucleotides) under Acyrthosiphon pisum (pea aphid). It matches the Rfam family "tRNA", at positions 8 to 63 of the family's 71-position model. Rfam says of the family: Transfer RNA (tRNA) molecules are approximately 80 nucleotides in length. Their secondary structure includes four short double-helical elements and three loops (D, anti-codon, and T loops). Lineage: Eukaryota; Metazoa; Arthropoda; Insecta; Hemiptera; Aphididae. The record is from Rfam by way of RNAcentral.
UAGCUCAGUCUGUAUAGAGCAUGAGACUCUUAAUCUCGAGGUCUUGGGUUUGAGCCCCAC